UUUUGUAAAAAUUGCAAAUCGACCUUUUCCCGUGAAGUAUAAUAAGACAUUUUUAUAAGAAAAAUUCGUUUUUACCGAAAAAAGUACGAUUCCACCAAAGAAGUCUAGGCUUUAGUGCCUCUUCUCUGGUCUCAUUAGUCUCACACUUGAUUCUUCUUCUUUAUAAGAUGAGGUAAAAUUAGUAAAAAUAUUUAUCCUUUAUUCGGGCUCGGAAUCGAUCAUCUAAGAUGUAGAUAGGCUUAAAAUUACCCAAAAUAAUAUUUCGUGUACAAUUUUUGUAUAAAAAGAAUAAAUACAAUCUAAUAAUGAAUAAAGAAACGAAGUAUAGUUACAAUAGUACCUUAGUAGUCUACAAUUGAACAUUUGAAAAGAUGGUUGACAAGCAUAUGAGUUUCUACAUUUUGAACUAGAGAAAAUUUAAAUCUUUAUAGUUUGAAUCGGACUACAAAUUACACAAUUCUAUAAUUCUUUUGUGUAGCAAGUAUAUAUUUGUUUAAAAUGUAAACUUUAUAUUAUUUUGAAUUAAUUGAAAAUAAUGUUCGAUUCCAUGUAAUUUGAGAUAGGGAUUGAACAUUACAAUUAAAAAAAUAAUUGGUACACGUUGAAAAAUAUUUUUAAAAGUAUUUUUCAUCACUAUGCAUACUUCGGGGAUAACAAAGAAUCUUCAUCUCUACCCUGUAAGAAUUCUAAAGAAAGAGAGGGGAUAACAUAAUUUAAAUUGGAAAAACAAAAUUUACAUUACAUAGAAGGCAAAAAUAUAUUUAGCACAUUGUAAAAUAAAAUGAAUAUAUUCUACUCACCAUAAGUCAAAACGAGAAAUUGAUGAUACAAAAAAUAGUUAUUACAUUUUUAUAACGAAUAAUGUUCUAAAAGCCCAAGCAAACCAUUACGAUGAUCGUUAUUCCUCACUUAAUUGCAUAAAGUAUUCAAUAUUUCAAGUUGUUAGUUCAAAUAGCCAUAUUCUAUACUUCUAGCUUUAUUAUAUUUUUGUUCAAAAUCUACAUGACCAAAAAAAAAAAAAAAUUGAAAUUGCAUCCCAUCAAUACUAUUUUGAAAACAUGAGGAAAAUCACCGUGAAAGUUUUUGUCUCC
RNAcentral lists this long non-coding RNA (1091 nucleotides) under Olea europaea (common olive). RNAcentral's name for it is "long non-coding RNA (OEUR_LNC000203)". Lineage: Eukaryota; Viridiplantae; Streptophyta; Magnoliopsida; Lamiales; Oleaceae. The record is from RNAcentral.